Long non-coding RNA from Branchiostoma belcheri (Belcher's lancelet), 1296 nucleotides. RefSeq lists it as uncharacterized. The transcript has 2 exons. The record is from RefSeq and is a predicted model, not a curated record. Lineage: Eukaryota; Metazoa; Chordata; Leptocardii; Amphioxiformes; Branchiostomatidae.
UGACGUUUGAAAAAUUGGCACAUGUAAAAUGCCAGCACCAUAAUCUAUGGCCCCAAAAUGAUUUUAUCAUCUGUUUAUUAGCAACAGAAGUUCAGUGGUUGUGGAUGUCCCCUUUCACUUUCUAUACAGAAUUUUUAUAGGUUUUGAACUUGUAUACAUCAUCGAUAAUGCAAGACAUCCAGUUUCAAAACUUUUCCCAACAGAUUAACAAGUUCAAAGCAAACUUUACAGAAAGCACUUUAUGGAAAGUCUGGAACGCUUUUUGAAGGUCACUGAGGCGUACGCAAGGUCAUAUCUGCAGUGGACGAUGGAGUUCACAGUAAAAGCACGCUUCAUUCCAACCAUUCUCCCAUGAUCUACACUGCCACCUCGUAAAGUAGCGAUUCUUAAUCCCCCACCCUGACAGAAUACUAAUUGUUUUCCCAACAAGACGUGUUUUUACGUUUCACGUCCGGAGAUGUAAUAGCGAUAGCCAUUAUCUGCCCGCCUUUUAGUCGCAACUUGUCCAACUUUUCACAGUAAAAGCGACAGUAACGCACUACAUCCGAUGAUCGCACUAGCAAUAACGACACCCUGGAAACCGUACAUCACAAGGUAGACUUGCCAGCUCCUGGAAUACCAAGUAGGCUUUGAUAGAUCUGUGGAUGAUGUGUACACCCUGGCAGGCAAGUGGGGCAUGUAAUUGUCGGCAAUACAGGAUGUUGUCUUGGGUAUGCGCUGAAAACAGUCAAGCCCCACCACCAAACGCCACGUGCUAAUCCAGCUCUAAAUUCAAUUUUCUCUGGGCGGCAAUGGUUCAUAAACAUCGGUUUCAGACAUGAAUUUUCCUUCUUAGAACAUCCCCGGGGGAAUGCUCACUUUAUUGGUCUCAUCCUGCUACUUUUGGCGUGUAAGGUAAUGGUAGGAUUGAAAAUUGGGGAUUUCCAUCACACGGGGCAAUCUAUUAUCACAACCCCCCGACUGCUCAUAAAGUCACAAAAAGUAUGGGGCACGGUUUGUUUGGUGCAUAGCAAAUGUGGCGUUUCUCCUUUGUGACCAGAUUGUGAGCACGGAGCCCCAUUUGGACCAGGCCCGGUACUGGGGUGAUGAAUGGAGACUGUUGCAGACUUUGAGAGCUGGCACCCUCCCUCCCUCUCUCAAUAACACUCACCCAGUCACGUAACAAAGUGAGCAAUACAGUGGUGCAGCUCACAGUACUCUAUAUCCCAUCGGAGUGACUAACCCAUCCUCGGACCGUAUGAGUUACGAUCGCGUCAUCUUUUACUUCAGCGAAUCUGCAGUUCUGCACGCACCCUC